AAAAUUGUUUAACUGUGUUGCUAUAUAUAGCAAAAAAGAGGAAUGAAAAUAUAUAUAUAUAUAUAUAUAUAUAUAUAUAUAUAUAUAUAUCAAUCAUAUUUAUUGCUAUAUAUAGCAGCACAGGUAAACAAUUUU
This is a non-coding RNA of Podarcis lilfordi (Lilford's wall lizard), 135 nucleotides long. The record is from the annotation of a GenBank genome assembly. NCBI's taxonomy places the organism in Eukaryota, Metazoa, Chordata, Lepidosauria, Squamata, Lacertidae.